Molecule: transfer RNA, 72 nt
Filed under: Chelonia mydas (Green sea turtle)
Lineage: Eukaryota; Metazoa; Chordata; Testudines; Cheloniidae
Rfam family: tRNA
About the family: Transfer RNA (tRNA) molecules are approximately 80 nucleotides in length.
Source: Rfam by way of RNAcentral
GUCAGUGUGGUUCAGAAGCCAGGGCACUGGAUUGAGACUCUGAAGACCUGGGUUUUAUUCCCAGCUCUGCCA